Molecule: ribosomal RNA, 481 nt
Filed under: uncultured bacterium
Lineage: Bacteria
Description: partial 16S ribosomal RNA
Rfam family: Bacterial small subunit ribosomal RNA
Source: RNAcentral
GAUGAACGCUGGCGGCGUGCCUAACACAUGCAAGUCGAGCGAAGCGCUUAAAUUAGAUUUCUUCGGAAUGACGAUUUUUGUGACUGAGCGGCGGACGGGUGAGUAACGCGUGGGUAACCUGCCUCAUACAGGGGGAUAACAGUUAGAAAUGACUGCUAAUACCGCAUAAGACCCCAGCUUCGCAUGAAGCGGUGGUAAAAACUCCGGUGGUAUGAGAUGGACCCGCGUCUGAUUAGCUAGUUGGUAAGGUAACGGCUUACCAAGGCGACGAUCAGUAGCCGACCUGAGAGGGUGACCGGCCACAUUGGGACUGAGACACGGCCCAGACUCCUACGGGAGGCAGCAGUGGGGAAUAUUGCACAAUGGGGGAAACCCUGAUGCAGCGACGCCGCGUGAAGGAUGAAGUAUUUCGGUAUGCAAACUUCUAUCAGCAGGGAAGAAAGUGACGGUACCUGACUAAGAAGCCCCGGCUAACUACGUG